GGGGGCGUACUGGCUUCGACUCAUCGUUGGAAGCGCAGGCGGCAUGUCGAGGAUGGUUCGUUGGCCUCGUAAAAAACCGGACCAAACAAAAUAAACGCAGAUCACGAAGGUCUAGCUCUCGCGGCUUAAUUGACCGCGACGUUUCCGGAGCGACGCCUGCUAGCGUCGGAAACGUGGACAGCAGGCUGGCAAAUCGGCGGAGCGACCGCGCCGGUUUGUGAAUCGAUUGCGCGGACGCUCGGGAGCCGGCAGUGCGCCGGUGCAAGGUUCGGCUCCUUAAAACUUUUCGCCGGAUAAACAUGUAGAUGACUGUGCGGAUAGCGACGAGGACAGGGGUUCAACUCCCCUCGCCUCCAGCC
Non-coding RNA from Verrucomicrobia bacterium 13_1_40CM_4_54_4, 359 nucleotides. NCBI's taxonomy places the organism in Bacteria, Pseudomonadati, Verrucomicrobiota. The record is from Rfam.